UCCAGCACUCAGGCUGGGAUUCUGGAAGGCACAAAGGAAGGCCAGCAAAGCGGUGGGAGACCAUCGUGACUGGAAGUCCUCCGGCCUGGGGGUCAGGGGACGUGGGCUCGGACAGACAGCUGAAAAACAGCUUCCUGGAAACUCCUAGGGCUUCUCAGUAAUGCAUCAGGAAGCAGGUGGCAUUUGGAGACCUUUCACUACUCGGUGGAUUUUUUACAACCUGUUUCUGAUUGACUGAAGGACUAAUACAGGCACGUGGUAAGAACUUCCAACAAGACAGAAAGGGUCACAGAGCCAGAGCUGCAACCUCCUCCUGCCAGCCGAGAGUCUCCUUAGAGGCAGCCACUGUUACCAUUUUUUUUGGUGCAUCUUCCUGAUCGAGUCCAAGAGCAUGUGUGGGUCUGCGUGUGACACAUUUUCUCCAACACAUGAAUGGGAACACGAGGAAAUUCCUGAAGAACGACUCGCCAUCUAGAGCCUGACUUUGUCAUCUGCCAAAUGACCAACCUGGAUGGGUCCUUCCUGACUUUACAGAGUCCAAACGAUGAACCCGCCUGCCACGAGCCAUGGGCAACCCGCUUGAGAAGCUAACCUGCAGGCUGCUCUGACUCCACGCUGGGGCGCUCUCAAGUCUGCUGGAGUGCACUAGCGAGUAACUAGUAACUAGUAAACUAAUCUUUUCUGAGCAAUCCCCAGGGCCAGGCGCCAGGCCCAGCAACUUACGGGUACCAUCUCAUCCAACCUUCACCACCACCUCAAGAGAUGAGGAAACUGAGACUCAAGAAGGUAACUUCCCCGAGGAGAUCUGAGACUUCUGAAGGUGCAGGCAGACAUCAAACUGAUGCCGUUUUCCAGCUGAAGAAACAGGAAGGGAGAAGUUAAGUUCCCUGCACAGUAAACUAAGUAACAGAAUGAAUCAAAGGCAAAAGUGAAUCUGCGGCCCCCCCACCGCCGCCCCGAUUCCAGGAACUGUGCUCUUCAACAUCACACCAACAGCAUUUCUUUUCAGAUUAUCAUUGAUGGUCAGCAGUCCUUGGCCAAAGACGGCCCUUCUGAUGUUGAGAGUCUAUGAGCACAGGAAAACCCAAAGCAGCCUUGGGUCCUACCACCCUAGCCGGAAACCCUGGCACAUGUAACCAGGCGGACAAGAAUGCUCGCAGCAGCUCUGUUUGUGUUGGGGGAAAAGAAUCUCAAAGGAAAAAAAUUUUGCCAACGACUCACAUGUUGGAGAACGGAUCAAUAGACUGUGGUCGGGACCGGUGUUCUGUCACUUCUGGCUGGAUGGCCCUGGCUAAGUGCGGCCCAGUUGUCUGCACCUCGCACCAAAAGCUCAGGCAACAAGAGAAAAAAUAAAUGGUCGGAUUCGAUCAAAAUUAAAAACCCCUGUGCAUCAGAGGACACUUUUAAGAGAGUGAAAAGACAACUCACAGAAUGCAAGAAAUACUUGAAAAUCAUCUGCCUGAUAAGGGAUUCACAUCCAGAAAAUAUAAAGAACUCCUACAACUCAACAGCGACAAAAACAUUUCUCCAAAGAAGAGCUACAAGGGACCAAUACGCAGAUGAAACGGUGCUCAGCAUCACUUAGUCAUUAGGGAAAAGUAAAUCAAAACCACUAUGAGAUGUCACUUACAUACUUAUUAGGAUGGCUAUUCUAAAACUAAACACAAAAACAGAAACAGAAACAAAAAAACAAAAAAUAUAACAAGUAUGGGUGAGGAUGUGGAGAUCUGGGGACCCGUGUGCUCAGCUGUAGGAAUGGGAGAUGGCGCAGCUGCUGUGGAAACCAGUGUGCACUUUCCUGUCUGUCAAAUGGAGAUCAGAAUCCCCACCUCACAGGUCUGUUGUCCGACAAAGAUGCAAAGAUUGUUUUCAUUCAUUCACUCAACAAACGAACCUCAGCCUGGACAAUGGGGAACACAGAAGACAAUAAAGUGAACAAAAAUCCCCUGAAGCCUUUUUUUCUGUUGGGGGUUAUGGACCGCAGGCAAGAGAGAUGACUCAGACUGGACCUUAGACUCCAGUGAGUGCUAAGCAGGGAAACAAAACAGCUCGGAGGACAGGGACACGUUUUGCUGGGUGAGCGACCCUGAAUGGGGAGAAACUUCACUGGGAAAGUGACGAUGGGAGAGGGGCAGUCUGCCAGAGGUCUCAGAGCUGGGCCGGGUCACAGUGCAGGUGUGGCUCCGUCCAGAGGGACACAAGAACCUACCAGAGGGUUCUGAACAAGACUUACGUGAUCUGACCUAGGUUUUAGCCAGACAAUUCUGCUGCUUGCAGAACUUAAUGAACCACAGAGAGCCACACCCAAGAUCAUGUAUCAUGACCUGACUUCCCCAAGGAAGCACAGAUGGACUUUGCAAGAUUAAAAAAAAUGACGCAAGUCAGGUGCACACUGUGACGUCACGGAGGAAGUGACACUGGGCAUGAAGCUGUUCUGUGCGUGUGCUCACUCCAUCCUCUUAACCACCCUAGGACAGCAGGGCUUUAUUCUCAUUUUACAGAUGAAGAAACCGAGGCACAGAGAUCUGAAGACCAUGCAGCUAUUUAGUGGCAACGCCAAGGUUCCAACCAGACAGUCUGAGGUCAGAGUUUGAGGCGACACAAGCACUCACGCUGUCUGAAGCCUACGGGCCGCUUACAAUAAUGACCAGAGCAAGAGAGGAGAGUGCUGGUCAGUUUCCCUCCCCAUUCGAGCUUCUCUGUCAUUCUGCUCACCAGCAGCUUCCCAAGCCCCCUCCUCUUCACCACCACCAAUUUCUGUGUAUACUUAAAAUGGGUUAAUGACAC
Molecule: long non-coding RNA, 2787 nt
Organism: Camelus dromedarius (Arabian camel)
Lineage: Eukaryota; Metazoa; Chordata; Mammalia; Artiodactyla; Camelidae
Exons: 3
Source: RefSeq, a predicted model, not a curated record